UACGGAGGAUGCGAGCGUUAUCCGGAUUCAUUGGGUUUAAAGGGUGCGCAGGCGGCGCCCCAAGUCAGCGGUAAAAUCCCCGGGCUCAACCCGGGCGCGCCGUUGAAACUGGGUUGCUUGAGCGUGUGCGACGGAGGCGGAAUGCGUGGUGUAGCGGUGAAAUGCAUAGAUAUCACGCAGAACCCCGAUUGCGAAGGCAGCUUCCGAGCACAUGUCUGACGCUGAGGCACGAAAGCGUGGGUAUCGAACA
Molecule: ribosomal RNA, 250 nt
Filed under: uncultured prokaryote
Description: partial 16S ribosomal RNA
Rfam family: Bacterial small subunit ribosomal RNA
Source: RNAcentral